Long non-coding RNA from Leptonychotes weddellii (Weddell seal), 649 nucleotides. RefSeq lists it as uncharacterized. The record is from RefSeq and is a predicted model, not a curated record. NCBI's taxonomy places the organism in Eukaryota, Metazoa, Chordata, Mammalia, Carnivora, Phocidae.
AUGCGUGUGAGUGUUACUCUGAAAGAGUGAGAACGAAGACAAACGGGACCAGAUAUCAGUGAUGGGUGAAUCUGCGUUAAAGUAACAGCUCCUGGCUUGCCACUGGGCCCUGGAGGAGACAGCUGGCCAUGGGACACCAAGUGACCAGAUACCUGAUAUUUGCCAUUCAUGAGCUGGUUGUUAUUUGAUCCACUCGGCCAUAAAAUUGGAAAUUCCAAGAAGUGCUCGACCAUUACAGAAAGAUGAUAUAUUGAUCUAUACAGGCCCAUGCCUAACAGUUCCUGAAGGAAACAUUCAGAUUUCUUCAUGGAUGUUUGCUGCAGCCUAAAAAUUCAACAUCAGGAAAGUGUUUAAAGAAACGUCCCACAAUGAGGAACAGAAGGAAAAUGAUUCAAGGAAAGAACUGUUGUGCAGCCAUUUGGAGCAACGUGGCAGAAGAAAAUGUGAAGUCAUGACAAACGUUCGUGAUCACUAUGAGAAAAAAGCAAGUUACAAAGGAGUUUGGACUGUAUGGUCCCAAUUUUGCUUAAAUAUAUAUAUAAAAUGUUAAAAGGACAUGCGGCCUUUCAAAAUAAUACUUGUGAUCAUCUUUGGGUGAUGUGAUGAUUCUUAGUUCUUCUUUGUUUCUUUUCUGCUUCCCUAUAAUUUU